RNAcentral lists this long non-coding RNA (1459 nucleotides) under Equus asinus (donkey). RNAcentral describes it as "lncRNA (ENSEASG00005025931.1)". The record is from RNAcentral. Lineage: Eukaryota; Metazoa; Chordata; Mammalia; Perissodactyla; Equidae.
ACUUACUGUGGGCAGUAAGGAAGGGAGGAGUCCUCUGCGCCUCAUCUAUCACCAGUGUGUGACGGGGAAGACAACACAGAAAUUGAAGGUGAUGUGCAACUAGCUGGCUUAUGUAAUGAAAAGACCCUGCAAAUUCAAAGCAUGGACCCACGCUAAAAGACUGCUCUCACAUCAAAAACUGGUGACAAAUGAAAAUAAAUGGAAGAAGACCACAGGGAUGUGAAAAAAAUAUAAUCAAUUAAGAUGUGCAUGGAAUCAUGGGCGUCAUGGAAGACUGUCUUAAGGAACCAGCAUUAGAACUGAAACCUAAGUUUUUGAGGAACAAUGAUAAGAUACUUAAUAUUCCCAGAGAGAGGGAGAGAAAGGAGGAAGAGAAGAAAGAAAACAAGUUGCAGACAAAGCCUUGCAAACCAGAAUGAUGACAACAACCUUAGAAGCUAGAAGGUAGAGAAGAACUACCUGCCAUGUUCUGAGGGUGAACUAUUGCCCAUCUAGAGUAUUAUACCACAGCAAAUCAUUCACCAAGUGUUAGGAGAGAAGAAAAUACUUUUUCAGACAUACACAGUCUCAAAAAUUUUAGCUCCCAAUCACUAUUUCUCAGGAAAUGUCAGCCUUAUUCGUGUAUAGAAAGAUUGAGUAUUGUUAAAAAUAUAAUUUAUCCCCUAUAAAAUAUAGUAUAUAUUUACUCCUAAUUUCCUAUCAGAUGUUUCAUGGGACUUCACAAGCUUAUAUUUAGAUAAAUGCGAAGAUGUAAAUGGAUAAAAAUAGACAAGAAGAUUGCAAGGUAAAAUGUUAAGAAGAUGUAUUAGAACAAAUUUAAAGAUUUCUCAUAAUGGCAUGGAAUUUAAACAUUGUAGCAUUGAUAGAGAAUUAUACAAGUAAACCAAUAGAAUAAUUCAGAGAUCCUGGGAACAGAGCCCUAUACAUACGCAAACUUAGCAUACGAUCAAUCUUUUAUUAGAUAUAAGUAGGAAAAAAUGGUCCAUAUGGCACAGAGGACAUCAAAAUUCCUCGGUUGCAUAUCCUCUUAAAUAUAUUUCUAAAAUAUAAUCUCACUUAGACAUUUAUUUUUACCCUAAUUUGUAAAACUUGCAACUUCUGUAUAUUUAAAUAUUGACAUUUUAAUGAAAACCAUUAUAAGAUUAUUAUAUAUUGCAACAGUUUGUAAAAUAUAUCUAAUAGAUGUAAAUACCAUUACAAAUGAUAUCUACCAGCAUCCACUUAAAAAAUUCAUAAACAUGCUUUUGAACAUUUUAAAAUUUUUUAUUUUCCCUUUUUUCUCUUUGAAUUCAUAUCUGCGUUCCACUUUCCAUGAAGAAUUUUUCCCAAUUUACUACAUUUUAUGCUUGAAAAUUAUUUAUUGAUUGCUCUAUUUUUCUUUUAUAGAAUAUGUAUAAAAUUGACAUUUUAACAUGUUUUAUUUCCUAUGACAUUAAAGAUCUAAGUGUUCAAAUAUUCA